UACGGAGGGGGCUAGCGUUGUUCGGAAUUACUGGGCGUAAAGCGCGCGUAGGCGGGCUGGUAAGUCGGGGGUGAAAUCCCGGGGCUCAACCCCGGAACUGCCUUCGAUACUGGCAGCCUAGAGGAAGGCAGAGGCUAGUGGAAUGGCGAGGGUAGAGGUGAAAUUCGUAGAUAUUCGCCGGAACACCAGUGGCGAAGGCGACUGGCCGGGCCUUUUCUGACGCUGAGGUGCGAAAGCGUGGGGAGCAAACAGG
RNAcentral lists this ribosomal RNA (253 nucleotides) under uncultured bacterium. RNAcentral describes it as "partial 16S ribosomal RNA". It matches the Rfam family "Bacterial small subunit ribosomal RNA", at positions 524 to 776 of the family's 1533-position model. The record is from RNAcentral.